RNAcentral lists this unclassified non-coding RNA (287 nucleotides) under Enterococcus haemoperoxidus. RNAcentral's name for it is "partial 16S-23S ribosomal RNA intergenic spacer". The record is from RNAcentral. Lineage: Bacteria; Bacillati; Bacillota; Bacilli; Lactobacillales; Enterococcaceae.
CUAAGGAAUAUUACGGAAACUUACACAUUCGUCGACACUUUGUUCAGUUUUGAGAGGUUUACUCUUAUAAGUGAAAAGUAAUCAUCUGAUUCUCUUUCUUAUUUAUAUGAUUCUCUCAAACGAAUUGUUCAUUGAAAACUGGAUAUUGAAGUAAAAAAGUAAUCAAAACAAACCGAGAACACCGCGUUGAAUGAGUUUUUUAAUUAAAAUAGUUCGAAGCUUAUUUUAUUGGUCACGCCUCUAUCGCUAGAGAAACGAACCAAACAAAACCGAUCGUAAGAUCGUAA